AUUGAUCAGCCUUCUGUGAAUCAUGGAGUCAAUGCUAAUUAUUACCCAGCUGGGGAUUGGCAGCAACACAACUAAGCACAAGGGACUGAACAUCCUCUAUUCCUGGCACUUAAAAGAGCAGAGCAGCAUGGGGUCUUAAAGACAGCAUGUUUCCAGUAAUGAUGUGCUGCCAGAAUUGACUUAGUCCAGGCAAACAGGCAUUUGGGAAAUGAGAGGUGAGUAGAGACCACUGCAGGCACACUACACACGGAUUGCAAGAGUACCACCCAUGUGACAUCAUGCUAUGGCCCAUCCCAAAGUCUGUCAGCACGCCUUGCACCGUGGCAGAAGCUCUUGCUAAAAUCCUGGAGACAAAAGAGGAGUGGAAUGACAGCAGGGGACAAAGAAGAGAUGGAGGCAGAGCAUGCUGCAGUGUCUUGAUGCUCAUAUGAAGGAAAGAAUCAGGGAUUGCAAGUUUAGAAUGUUACAAAUUGAAACCUUAACCUCCAAAAGACACAAGCCAUGAUGUGUGCAUCUCUUCUGCUCUUCCUUGCACUCACUUCCCAAGAACCAGGUGUCCUUGUCCACUUGUUAAGCAUUCCCCAUGGGUUUACCUAAUCUGAGGUCCAUGUAUUCCUUUUUCUGUCCUUCCUGUCCACAAAUGAUGAAGCAAGUGCUAACCAUUAAUCAAUACCAAGACAGAGGAGGAAAGAGAGGAAUAAAUGAAUGGUCAUCUCAUGGCAUUUUUUUCCCUGAUUUCUCUAUCAAAAGUAAGUAGAGUUUUGUGAAGAGAGAUUUAAUUG
Molecule: long non-coding RNA, 782 nt
Organism: Passer domesticus (house sparrow)
Lineage: Eukaryota; Metazoa; Chordata; Aves; Passeriformes; Passeridae
Exons: 3
Source: RefSeq, a predicted model, not a curated record